CGGAGGGUGCAAGCGUUAUCCGGAUUCACUGGGUUUAAAGGGUGCGUAGGUGGGUUGGUAAGUCAGUGGUGAAAUCCCCGAGCUUAACUUGGGAACUGCCAUUGAUACUAUCAGUCUUGAAUACCGUGGAGGUCAGCGGAAUAUGUCAUGUAGCGGUGAAAUGCUUAGAUAUGACAUAGAACACCAAUUGCGAAGGCAGCUGGCUACACGAAUAUUGACACUGAGGCACGAAAGCGUGGGGAUCAAACAGGAUUAGAUACCCUGGUAGUCCGCGCCCUAAACUAUGGAUACUCGACAUACGCGAUACACUGUGUGUGUCUGAGCGAAAGCAUUAAGUAUCCCACCUGGGAAGUACGAUCGCAAGAUUG
This 368-nucleotide ribosomal RNA is filed under the name uncultured organism. RNAcentral's name for it is "bacterial SSU rRNA". It matches the Rfam family "Bacterial small subunit ribosomal RNA", at positions 526 to 896 of the family's 1533-position model. The record is from RNAcentral.